This 125-nucleotide small RNA is filed under the name Marmota monax (woodchuck). The record is from RNAcentral. Lineage: Eukaryota; Metazoa; Chordata; Mammalia; Rodentia; Sciuridae.
GCCAGGCAUGGUGGCUCAUUCUUGUAAUCCCAGCAACUCUGGAGGCUGAGACAGGAGGAUUAUGAGUUCAGAGCCAGCAUCAGCAACAGCGAGGUGCUAAGCAAUUCAGUGAGACCCUGUCUCUA